Molecule: unclassified non-coding RNA, 4172 nt
Filed under: Hevea brasiliensis (rubber tree)
Lineage: Eukaryota; Viridiplantae; Streptophyta; Magnoliopsida; Malpighiales; Euphorbiaceae
Source: RNAcentral
AUUUUAAUGAAAAAGGACAUUUAAGUGCUAUAAAUUGAUGUAGCCAAGUAUUUUCUCAAUUCAAAAUACAAAAAUACACAACAGUCAUUAGUUAAAAUACAUUGACAGCAAGCCAUCUUCUUCGCCCUUUUUCACCUCAGCUCCAACUUUCAGAACUCAACCCAUCAAUCUUGCAUUAAUUAUUUGAUUGGCAGCAAUUAUACUAAUUGACAGUUGUUUACCAUCGCCUCCGAUAAUGACCCAGAUGGAUCCACAAUGAUUCGAAAAAGGUUGCUUCAAGAUCAGGUGCUGCUAUAUCCAACCCCCAUAAAUAUAUCCCCUUCCUCUGACUCUCUAAAACCCUUUUGGCAAUGCUGAUUCAAUCAUUUCACAUCUGGUGCUUUCAGGGUAGCUAGAAUAGCUACAAACUCCUCAAAUUGAUCUUUUUGAAGAAUACAUAACAAUUCCAACUUCAAAUUUAUCCAAGAAUUUUGCAAUGUGCUCAUCAAAUACCGAACCUGGUGGUUCUAGAACAAUAGGACCUGCAAGAAUCAUAGGCUUGCCGAACUGCUUCUCAAUACAAAAAACAAAACCUUCCAUCUCUGAGCAGGCUUUUUAAGCUAAUGGCACCACACCCAUCGAAAGAAAGCAAUUGGCGUUCCAAGCCUGAAAGCCGCUGACAAAUCUUUUUGUAGUUGUAGCAACUAGUCCUCGAGCUUCAUGGGCACGUAGCUUGAUCCAAGGUGGAGGGAAACUUGGCGGAGGCUUCAUCCAUCGAACAUUUCUCAAGGAGCUCUCUUUCAGGGCUUAUCAAUGACCAACAGUAGCUGGACUAAUGGUACAAUAAUGCACAGAAUUUACGCCAAUCCUGCGUGAUGCUUCUAGCAACCAAUAAGUGAAAUCAAAGAAGACGAAAUGGGGUUUGGUGUCUGGGAGAUGAGCCUCGAUGACAGGCGUGAAAUCCAUGGUAGUCAUUAGAAGAGUAUGCAAAGAGAAAGGGGCAUCGUUUGUUGUCUCAAUGCCUGUGGAAGGCCAUCCACGUAUGGAAUAGUGACAGGAGUAAAGUUUAUGAGAUCUGAGCGACGAUUGAAUGGCUUAAACUUGGGUUUGGUUUUUGAUGGCAGAAGGAAUGAGAAUUUGUGGCUUGUGUAAGCUCGUUGGAUAGAUGAAGAAAAGAGCUACGUUAGCCCAUAGCAAAGCAUGAAAACAUAACUAUGUUAAAGGCUUUGUUGUCAUUGGCCAUGUUCAUUAAUUUCCUGUAUUGUAACUCGUAAGAUACUGAAACCCUCAAAACUCAUGUUUUCUUCCGGCGAGAAGAUUAAAUAUCAACCCACAAAAAGAUUAUGAUUAGUGAUGGGAAAAUUCAAACUGAAUUUAUUUAAUGAUAAUGGCUUUAUCUAACAUUAUCUUUUUCUCUUUAAGGUUAUAUUCUCACCUGUGGUUGUUUGUCCCUCCUAAACCGUACAAUGGAUCCUCUUCAAAAUAUCAAUUUUUGUAAUUUGUAACGCUACUUCUUGGAUCGCUUAUGUUUGGUUUUCCUUGGAUGGAUCCUAAAUUUAGUUGCACUUUUUGUUUAUUGCAAAAUUGUUUUGACAAUAUAUAACACCCAGUAUCAUUCACAUGAAAACAAAAUCAUUGUUUUGUGUGAACUAAACCAAGCAAUAUAGACCUAACAAAGGUGUGCAACUAUGCAUGACAUGAUACCACACACACAUCAAAGAAAAAGAAACAUACCCUAUAAGGGCCUUAACGUUACUUUUGGAUCCUAGUAGUCAACGCUGGUCCCGUUGUGCAGUUCAGAGAAAAAAAGCAUCCUAAUUUUACAAGCUGUAUGAUUUUAAGUAAUUUAGAAGGCCAUUGUCAUCAUUGCGUUUUAAGGUUUCAAUCCCCCAGAAUGAAGUUUUAUAGCAUGUAUGACAUAAGUCAUGCUUUCAGAAGAAAAAUCAAACCAACUGCAGCUACCAAGUCAAAAAUGCAUCUGAUUUUUGUAUUACCCGUCAGCCCCUUCAAAUUUUUGGAAUAACAACCUCAGGACUAUAGACUGAAGACUUAUAAAUUUGGGGGCUUGUCAGUUGCGAUCCAUAUAAAAUUUUGUUAGUUUUUAGAUAAGUAUCCGAUCUAGCAAUUUAAAUUUCCCUUCCCUUCUCUAUGGAGUGUCCAAAAGCUGCAUACAUGAUAUUCACAUGCAUCAGGUAAUGGUCACCGAACUGGCCUUGCCAAUGCAAAGCAGGCAUUCAAAUUAACUGACAUCAACAGCUCUAUUACAACUAUUUCAUUUGGAAGGCGGAUCUUGUGGCUGGGUUCAAUAAAGCCUGCUUGCCAUAGUCCAAGAUGUAGAACUAUCAACUCAAGGCAUACAAAUAAAAAUAAAAACAAAAAUAAAAUCAGAGCAACUCAUUCUUACCAGGGGAUAGCUUUCGUCCACCAUAAAUCUCACUUGCCAAGGGAUUGGAAGCCCAAUGAUUCACAGCUACCCGACUUGUAGGUUGGAACCCUACUAUUUUACCAUCAGUUGACAGAACAACCUGAUAACUAGCAAUAUCCUGUGCAGAUGAUUUCAUAUCUUCAUCAAUUUUCUGUUCAGGAGCAGAAGUUGAAUUUUCUUCCCUAGUGGAUUCAGAUUUGCCCAUAACUUUCAAGUAUUUUGGAACAUCUCCAAUCCAAGCACCAUUAUCUGUUUCUGUUAUUAUAUUGCCAGGCCAGCCAAAUGCAUCCUUAAUCUUUUUGACGAUCAGAACGCAAAAUCCUUGCAACUUUUCAGCAUCCUGAGAUUCAUUUACUGCAAACUUAAUUUCAGAUGAUGGAGGUGACCUAUGUUCUUGAGCGUACAUUUCUCCUUUGCGUAUAUGAGGAAAACUAAACUGUCUGAGAGCAGUGAUGGUAAUGAGAAAAAUUCCACUUGCAAGGCUAGCCGACAAGAUGUUCAGCAAAGAAGAGCUCCUCUUUUUAUUGGAAAAGUUGGUAAACUUUGUAAUGGCAUGACAUGAUAACUCUUUAUCAGGCAACGAGUAAACGUCUUCAUAGUACAUAUCUAAUAUUUCAGCCAAUCCAGCCAUUUGGGAAUGGGUCAAAAGAACUUCCCACCUAUUCUCUGCAGAUCUUCUCCAUCCUUCAAAUUUUACAUCCUUAACUUUAUCUGCAUUAAUUUGUAGCCUAUAAGCUGGUACAUACUCACUUGUCCAUGCACUGAAGUCAGGCCCCCCAAUUUUUUCCAACUUAGAGUGUGCCACUAGUGUCCACCAAUUGUACUUGUUUCUCUUUUUUAUUCCUCUGAAACUUUCCUUGGUUGAAUUAAAAUUUGCUAGCAAACUCUUGGCAUUCUCUACUAUUUCAUCUUCAAAUAAUUUAUAAAUGACAACAGCAGAGUCCUUGGACACAAUUCUCUUGGGCUUCUGAAACCAGCGGGAGAUACCACUAGAAGUUUUCCCCAAAAAAUCAUCAAGGAAAUGCCCUUCAGUGUCUUGAAGAGCAGCUAUGCAAACAGCUUCUGCAAGCACAGAAAUAACCUCUUCUUUUGAUGACCUGAGAAAGAAAGAUGCAGGAACCUCUCUUGGGUUUUGAAGAUCCUCCAUGUUUCUCUUUGUCCCAGGCCUUAACACAACGAGCUCAAAAUUCCACAGCUGUUGCAAAACCACUUGUCUAAAUGUCAUGGCAAGUAUGUUUUGAGACGUAGUCCCAGAGAAAAUAUCUUCAGUGUAAGAACUUCUGAAUUUGCCCGCUUUUUCUUUAACUUUCUUAGCAGGUAAAAACAAUCGAGUAGAAAUGGUGGCGUGCUCAUCCCCGGGCCCUGGGAAAAUCGUCUCAACGACCAUGGUGGGCAUGCCGGAAUCAAUGUGCUCAGCCGCGGCCCGGCCUCCAUCGGCUGCAGCUGCAGUGAGAGCCUGCUCGAAGCCAACGGCGCCUACUAAGCUGAGCCGAGCCAAGUCGUUCUCAAAGGUCCUAACGCAAGGGAGGGUCUUUCCUUUAGACUCCGCUACGAAUUGGAGAAAUGCUUCUUCUUGUUGCUGUUUUGGAGAAGUGCAGAAGAGGACAGGGAGGGGAUUUCUGGAACUGGGCAGGGGCAAAAUGGGAAGGGAAAAUGUAGGAAUUGUAGUUUUGGAGGAGAGGGAAUGAGAAGGUGAAGAAAGAAGAAGAAGAGGUGAUAGAAAGGAGAGAGCUUGACAAGAAGGAGGCAUUUUGAUUCUGUGAUUUUG